AAAGGAAUAGACGGGGACCCGCACAAGCGGUGGAGCAUGUGGCUUAAUUCGAUGCAACGCGAAGAACCUUACCUGGACUUGACAUGCAAGUAGUAGAACCCUGAAAGGGGGACGAUCCCGCGCAAGCGGGAAGCUUGCACAGGUGCUGCAUGCCUGUCGUCAGCUCGUGCCGUGAGGUGUUGGGUUAAGUCCCGCAACGAGCGCAACCCUUGUGAUUAGUUGCCAUUAUUAAGUUAGGCACUCUAGUCAGACUGCCUGUGAUAAGCAGGAGGAAGGUGGGGAUGACGUCAAGUAAGUAUGGUCCUUAUGUCCAGGGCUGCACACGUGCUACAAUGGCCGGUACAGAAGGAAGCAAUACCGCGAGGUGGAGCUAAUCCCCAAAACCGGCCUCAGUUCGGAUUGGAGUCUGCAACCCGACUCCAUGAAGCUGGAAUCGCUAGUAACGGCGCAUCAGCUACGGCGCCGUGAAUACGUUCCCGGGUCUUGUACACACCGCCCGU
RNAcentral lists this ribosomal RNA (500 nucleotides) under uncultured bacterium. Its description in RNAcentral is "bacterial SSU rRNA". It matches the Rfam family "Bacterial small subunit ribosomal RNA", at positions 903 to 1397 of the family's 1533-position model. The record is from RNAcentral.